CCUACGGGAGGCAGCAGUGAGGAAUAUUGGUCAAUGGACGCAAGCCUGAACCAGCCAUGCCGCGUGCAGGAAGACGGCCCUAUGAGUUGUAAACUGCUUUUGUACGAGGGUAAACGCAGAUACGUGUACCUGUCUGAAAGUACCGUACGAAUAAGGAUCGGCUAACUCCGUGCCAGCAGCCGCGGUAAUACGGAGGAUUCAAGCGUUAUCCGGAUUUAUUGGGUUUAAAGGGUGCGUAGGCGGUCGGUUAAGUUAGAGGUGAAAUUCCGGGGCUCAACUUCGGAAUUGCCUCUGAUACUGGUAGGCUUGAGAGUAGUUGCGGUAGGCGGAAUGUGUGGUGUAGCGGUGAAAUGCUUAGAGAUCACGCAGAACACCGAUUGCGAAGGCAGCUUACCAGGCUACUACUGACGUUGAGGCACGAAAGCGUGGGGAGCAAACAGGAUUAGAUACCCGGGUAGUC
RNAcentral lists this ribosomal RNA (460 nucleotides) under uncultured bacterium. RNAcentral describes it as "partial 16S ribosomal RNA". It matches the Rfam family "Bacterial small subunit ribosomal RNA", at positions 338 to 795 of the family's 1533-position model. The record is from RNAcentral.